CCCCUCCCUGACCUGCUGGGGUGGGGGAGAUAAUUGCUGGGUGGGCUUUUGGGAGGCGGCUGAGGUUAACCUGUCAUGAGGUAAAACACCAAUCUCACUUUAUCUGGGAUGAAACCAGUGUUUCACAGAGAAAUCUCUGACAUCUGACUGUGCCUAUCUGUUGUGUGCCUCAAGUAGUUCUUCAUGAACCUAGGUUGAAGGGGUGGAAGUACAUUAGCAGCUAGCGCUCUGAAAGGUGA
Molecule: long non-coding RNA, 239 nt
Organism: Passer domesticus (house sparrow)
Lineage: Eukaryota; Metazoa; Chordata; Aves; Passeriformes; Passeridae
Exons: 3
Source: RefSeq, a predicted model, not a curated record